Molecule: unclassified non-coding RNA, 345 nt
Filed under: soil metagenome
Description: partial contains 5.8S ribosomal RNA, internal transcribed spacer 2, and large subunit ribosomal RNA
Rfam family: 5.8S ribosomal RNA (bases 1-119)
Source: RNAcentral
GAUGAAGAACGCAGCGAAAUGCGAUACGUAAUGUGAAUUGCAAAUUCAGUGAAUCAUCGAGUCUUUGAACGCACAUUGCGCCCCCUGGUAUUCCGGGGGGCAUGCCUGUCCGAGCGUCAUUGCUGCCCUCAAGCACGGCUUGUGUGUUGGGCCCCGUCCUCCGAUCCCGGGGGACGGGCCCGAAAGGCAGCGGCGGCACCGCGUCCGGUCCUCGAGCGUAUGGGGCUUUGUCACCCGCUCUGUAGGCCCGGCCGGCGCUUGCCGAUCAACCCAAAUUUUUAUCCAGGUUGACCUCGGAUUAGGUAGGGAUACCCGCUGAACUUAAGCAUAUCAAUAAGCGGAGGA